AGCACAGAGAAGCUUGCUUCUUGGGUGACGAGUGGCGGCCGGGUGAGUAAUGUCUGGGAAACUGCCCGAUGGAGGGGGAUAACUACUGGAAACGGUAGCUAAUACCGCAUAACGUCUUCGGACCAAAGUGGGGGACCUUCGGGCCUCACGCCAUCGGAUGUGCCCAGAUGGGAUUAGCUAGUAGGUGGGGUAACGGCUCACCUAGGCGACGAUCCCUAGCUGGUCUGAGAGGAUGACCAGCCACACUGGAACUGAGACACGGUCCAGACUCCUACGGGAGGCAGCAGUGGGGAAUAUUGCACAAUGGGCGCAAGCCUGAUGCAGCCAUGCCGCGUGUAUGAAGAAGGCCUUCGGGUUGUAAAGUACUUUCAGCGGGGAGGAAGGCGAUGCGGUUAAUAACCGCGUCGAUUGACGUUACCCGCAGAAGAAGCACCGGCUAACUCCGUGCCAGCAGCCGCGGUAAUACGGAGGGUGCAAGCGUUAAUCGGAAUUACU
Molecule: ribosomal RNA, 495 nt
Filed under: Erwinia persicina
Lineage: Bacteria; Pseudomonadati; Pseudomonadota; Gammaproteobacteria; Enterobacterales; Erwiniaceae
Description: bacterial SSU rRNA
Rfam family: Bacterial small subunit ribosomal RNA
Source: RNAcentral